GACGAACGCUGGCGGCGUGCUUAACACAUGCAAGUCGAACGGAAAGGCCCUGCUUUUGUGGUGUGCUCGGGUGGCGAACGGGUGAGUAACACGUGAGUAACCUGCCCUUGACUUUGGGGUAACUUCAGGUAACUGGGCCUAAUCCCGGAUAGGAGCUCCUGCUGCAUGGUGGGGGUUGGAACGUUUCGGCGGUUGGGGAUGGACGCGCGGCUUAUGGGCUUGUUGGUGGGGUAGUGGCUUACCAAGGCUUUGACGGAUAGCCGGCCCGUGAGCGUGACCGGCCACAAGGGGACUGAGAUACGGAGCAGACUGGUACGGGAGGCAGCAGGGGGGAACAUGACACAAUGGGCGGAAGUCUGAGGCAGCAACGUCGGGGUUGUGAAGACGGCCUGCGGGGUGUAAACCGCUGUCGCCUGUGACGAAGCGUGAGUGACGGUACUGGGUAAAUAAGCACCGGCUAACUACGUG
This 468-nucleotide ribosomal RNA is filed under the name uncultured bacterium. RNAcentral's name for it is "partial 16S ribosomal RNA". It matches the Rfam family "Bacterial small subunit ribosomal RNA", at positions 28 to 507 of the family's 1533-position model. The record is from RNAcentral.